ACGAUUAAAGCUCCCUUCGGGGAGUGCAUAAAGUGGCGCACGGGUGAGUAACACGUAAGUAAUCUGCCUUCGAGUGGGGAAUAACCCGGGGAAACCCGAGCUAAUACCGCAUAAUGCAGCGGCACCUAAUGGUGACAGUUGUUAAAGGAGCAAUCCGCUUGAAGAGGAGCUUGCGGCAGAUUAGCUUGUUGGUAAGGUAACGGCUUACCAAGGCUACGAUCUGUAUCCGGUCUAAGAGGACGGUCGGACACACUGACACUGAAUAACGGGUCAGACUCCUACGGGAGGCAGCAGUCGGGAAUUUUGGGCAAUGGGGGAAACCCUGACCCAGCAACGCCGCGUGAAGGAUGAAGUAUUUCGGUAUGUAAACUUCGAAAGAAUAGGAAGAAUUAAUGACGGUACUAUUUAUAAGGUCCGGCUAACUACGUGCCAGCAGCCGCGGUAAUACGUAGGGACCAAGCGUUGUUCGGAUUUACUGGGCGUAAAGGGCGCGUAGGCGGCGCGGUAAGUCACUUGUGAAAUCUCUGAGCUUAACUCAAAACGGCCAAGUGAUACUGCAGUGCUAGAGUGUGGAAGGGGCAAUCGGAAUUCUUGGUGUAGCGGUGAAAUGCGUAGAUUUCAAGAGGAACACCUGAGGUGAAGACGGGUUGCUGGGCAACACUGACGCUGAUGCGCGAAAGCCAGGGGGAGCAAACGGGAUUAGAUACCCCGGUAGUCCUGGCCCUAAACGAUGAAUACUUGGUGUCUGGAGUUUAAUGCUCCGGGUGCCGUC
This 772-nucleotide ribosomal RNA is filed under the name uncultured Bacillota bacterium. RNAcentral describes it as "bacterial SSU rRNA". It matches the Rfam family "Bacterial small subunit ribosomal RNA", at positions 66 to 850 of the family's 1533-position model. The record is from RNAcentral. Lineage: Bacteria; Bacillati; Bacillota.